UCCGGGCCCUACGGGGCGCAGCAGCUAAGAAACCUUUACAUUGCACGCGAGUGCGAUAAGGGAACUCCAAGUGCGAAGGCAUAUCGUCCUCGCUUUUCUGGACCGUAAGGUGGUCCAGGAACAAGGGCUGGGCAAGACCGGUGCCAGCCGCCGCGGUAAUACCGGCAGCCCAAGUGAUGGCCGAUAUUAUUGGGCCUAAAGCGUCCGUAGCCGGCCCGGGCAAGUCCGUUGGGAAAUCUGCUCGCUUAACGAGCAGGCGUCCAGCGGAAACUGUUCGGCUUGGGACCGGAAGACCCGAGGGGUACGUCCCGGGUAGGAGUGAAAUCCUGUAAUCCUGGACGGACCGCCGGUGGCGAAAGCGCCUCGGGAGGACGGAUCCGACGGUGAGGGACGAAAGCUAGGGUCUCGAACCGGAUUAGAUACCGGGGUAGUACUAGCCGUAAACGAUGCCCGCUAGGUGUGGCGCAGGCUACGAGCCUGCGCUGUGCCGUAGGGAAGCCGAGAAGCGGGCCGCCUGGGAAGUACGUCCGCAAGGAUGAAACUUAAAGGAAUUGGCGGGGGAGCACUACAACCGGAGGAGCCUGCGGCUUAAUUGGAUUCAACGCCGGACACAUCACCGGCCCCGACAGCAGUAAUGACGGUCAGGUUGAUGACCUUACUCGACGCUGCUGAGAGGAGGUGCAUGGCCGCCGUCAGUUCGUACCGUGAGGCGUCCUGUUAAGUCAGGCAACGAGCGAGACCCGCACCCCUAAUUGCCAGCAGUACCCAUUGGGGUAGCUGGGUACAUUAGGGGGACUGCCACUGCCAAAGUGGAGGAAGGAACGGGCAACGGUAGGUCAGUAUGCCCCGAAUGGGCCGGGCUACACGCGGGCUACAAUGGCCGGGACAAUGGGAUGCGACACCGAGAGGUGGAGCUAAUCUCCUAAACCCGGUCGUAGUUCGGAUUGAGGGCUGGAACCCGCCCUCAUGAAGCUGGAUUCGGUAGUAAUCGCGUGUCACAAGCCCGCGGUGAAUACGUCCCUGCUCCUUGCACACACCGCCCGUCAAAUCACCCGAGUGGGGUCCGGAUGAGGCCCGGUUUCCGGGUCGAAUCUGGGCUCCGCAAGGGGGAUUAAGUCGUAACAAGGUAACCAAGGGCGAAUUCUGC
RNAcentral lists this ribosomal RNA (1147 nucleotides) under uncultured archaeon. RNAcentral describes it as "bacterial SSU rRNA". It matches the Rfam family "Archaeal small subunit ribosomal RNA", at positions 315 to 1478 of the family's 1478-position model. The record is from RNAcentral.